UCCGGUUUGUCACCGGCAGUCUGAAGUGAGUCCCCAACUUAAUGCUGGCAACACUUCACGGGGGUUGCGCUCGUUGCGGGACUUAACCCAACAUCUCACGACACGAGCUGACGACAGCCGUGCACCACCUAUCACAGGCCCCGAAGGACACCGUAUCUCUACGGCUUUUCCUGCGUAGUUCAACCCAGGUAAGGUUCUUCGCGUUGCAUCGAAUUAAGCCACAUGCUCCGCCGCUUGUGCGGGCCCCCGUCAAUUCCUUUGAGUUUUAGCCUUGCGGCCGUACUCCCCAGGCGGGGCACUUAAUGCGUUAGCUCCGGCACGGGAGGAGUCGACACCUCCCACACCUAGUGCCCAUCGUUUACGGCGUGGACUAC
Molecule: unclassified non-coding RNA, 374 nt
Filed under: uncultured Actinomycetes bacterium
Lineage: Bacteria; Bacillati; Actinomycetota; Actinomycetes
Description: uncultured actinobacterium contains 16S-23S intergenic spacer region
Source: RNAcentral